CGUAGGGUGCGAGCGUUAAUCGGAAUUACUGGGCGUAAAGCGUGCGCAGGCGGUUUUGUAAGACAGAUGUGAAAUCCCCGGGCUCAACCUGGGACCUGCAUUUGUGACUGCAAGGCUAGAGUACGGUAGAGGGGGAUGGAAUUCCGCGUGUAGCAGUGAAAUGCGUAGAUAUGCGGAGGAACACCGAUGGCGGAGGCAAUCCCCUGGACCUGUACUGACGCUCAUGCACGAAAGCGUGGGGAGCAAACAGGAUUAGAUACCCUGGUAGUCCACGCCCUAAACGAUGUCAACUGGUUGUUGGGUCUUUACUGACUCAGUAACGAAGCUAACGCGUGAAGUUGACCGCCUGGGGAGUACGGCCGCAAGGUUG
Molecule: ribosomal RNA, 370 nt
Filed under: uncultured organism
Description: bacterial SSU rRNA
Rfam family: Bacterial small subunit ribosomal RNA
Source: RNAcentral